Molecule: ribosomal RNA, 305 nt
Filed under: uncultured bacterium
Lineage: Bacteria
Description: partial 16S ribosomal RNA
Rfam family: Bacterial small subunit ribosomal RNA
Source: RNAcentral
ACAGCAGCCGCCACGGGAAUACGGAGGGUGCAAGCGUUAUCCGGAUUUAUUGGGUUUAAAGGGUCCGUAGGCGGAUCUGUAAGUCAGUGGUGAAAUCUCACAGCUUAACUGUGAAACUGCCAUUGAUACUGCAGGUCUUGAGUAAAUUUGAAGUGGCUGGAAUAAGUAGUGUAGCGGUGAAAUGCAUAGAUAUUACUUAGAACACCAAUUGCGAAGGCAGGUCACUAAGAUUUAACUGACGCUGAUGGACGAAAGCGUGGGGAGCGAACAGGAUUAGAUACCCGUGUAGUCCCUGUCUCUUAUAA